UACAGAGGUCUCAAGCGUUGUUCGGAUUCAUUGGGCGUAAAGGGUGCGUAGGUGGCGCUGUAAGUCGGGUGUGAAAUCUCGGGGCUUAACUCCGAAACUGCACUCGAUACUGCGGCGCUUGAGGACUGGAGAGGAGACUGGAAUUCAUGGUGUAGCAGUGAAAUGCGUAGAGAUCAUGAGGAAGACCAGUGGCGAAGGCGGGUCUCUGGACAGUUCCUGACACUGAGACACGAAGGCCAGGGGAGCAAACGGG
This 253-nucleotide ribosomal RNA is filed under the name uncultured bacterium. Its description in RNAcentral is "partial 16S ribosomal RNA". It matches the Rfam family "Bacterial small subunit ribosomal RNA", at positions 524 to 776 of the family's 1533-position model. The record is from RNAcentral.